GACGAACGCUGGCGGCGUGCUUAACACAUGCCAGUCGAACGGAAAGGCCCUGCUUUUGUGGGGUGCUCGAGUGGCGAACGGGUGAGUAACACGUGAGUAACCUGCCCUUGACUUUGGGAUAACUUCAGGAAACUGGGGCUAAUACCGGAUAGGAGCUCCUGCUGCAUGGUGGGGGUUGGAAAGUUUCGGCGGUUGGGGAUGGACUCGCGGCUUAUCAGCUUGUUGGUGGGGUAGUGGCUUACCAAGGCUUUGACGGGUAGCCGGCCUGAGAGGGUGACCGGCGACAUUGGGACUGAGGUACGGACCAGACUCCUACGGGAGGCAGCAGUGGGGAGUAUUGCACAAUGGGCGGAAGCCUGAUGCAGCAACGCCGCGUGCGGGAUGACGGCCUUCGGGUUGUAAACCGCUUUCGCCGGUGACGAAGCGUGAGUGACGGUAAUGGGUAAAGAAGCACCGGCUAACUACGUG
RNAcentral lists this ribosomal RNA (468 nucleotides) under uncultured bacterium. RNAcentral's name for it is "partial 16S ribosomal RNA". It matches the Rfam family "Bacterial small subunit ribosomal RNA", at positions 28 to 507 of the family's 1533-position model. The record is from RNAcentral.